RNAcentral lists this ribosomal RNA (352 nucleotides) under uncultured Racocetra. Its description in RNAcentral is "SSU rRNA". It matches the Rfam family "Eukaryotic small subunit ribosomal RNA", at positions 569 to 929 of the family's 1831-position model. The record is from RNAcentral. Lineage: Eukaryota; Fungi; Glomeromycota; Glomeromycetes; Diversisporales; Gigasporaceae.
AGCAGCCGCGGUAAUUCCAGCUCCAAUAGCGUAUAUUAAAGUUGUUGCAGUUAAAAAGCUCGUAGUUGAAUUUCGGGGUUCUACCGUUGGUCGGGCUUCGUCUGUACUGGCGUGUAGAAUUUCUACCUUCUGGGGAACCAUCAUGUUAUUAAUUUGACGUGGCGGGAAACCAGGACCUUUACCUUGAAAAAAUUAGAGUGUUCAAAGCAGGCUUAUGUCUGAAUACAUUAGCAUGGAAUAAUAAAAUAGGACGGUGGUUCUGUUUUGUUGGUUUCUGAAUCACCGUAAUGAUUAAUAGGGAUAGUUGGGGGCAUUAGUAUUCAAUUGUCAGAGGUGAAAUUCUUGGGUAUAU